RNAcentral lists this ribosomal RNA (425 nucleotides) under uncultured bacterium. RNAcentral's name for it is "bacterial SSU rRNA". It matches the Rfam family "Bacterial small subunit ribosomal RNA", at positions 354 to 796 of the family's 1533-position model. The record is from RNAcentral.
GUGGGGAAUAUUGGACAAUGGGCGCAAGCCUGAUCCAGCCAUGCCGCGUGAGUGAUGACGGCCUUAGGGUUGUAAAGCUCUUUCGCUCGGGACGAUAAUGACGGUACCGAGAUAAGAAGCCCCGGCUAACUUCGUGCCAGCAGCCGCGGUAAUACGAAGGGGGCUAGCGUUGUUCGGAAUUACUGGGCGUAAAGCGCGUGUAGGCGGGUCUUUAAGUCAGGGGUGAAAUGCCAAGGCUCAACCUUGGAACUGCCUUUGAUACUGGAGAUCUUGAGUCCGGGAGAGGUGAGUGGAAUUGCGAGUGUAGAGGUGAAAUUCGUAGAUAUUCGCAAGAACACCAGUGGCGAAGGCGGCUCACUGGCCCGGAACUGACGCUGAGACGCGAAAGCGUGGGGAGCAAACAGGAUUAGAAACCCUGGUAGUCC